GACAGAGGGUGCAAACGUUGCUCGGAAUUACUGGGCGUAAAGCGCGUGUAGGUGGAUUGGUGUGUCAGAUGUGAAAUCCCUGGGCUCAACCCAGGAACUGCACCUGAAACUACCAGUCUUGAGUGGUGGAGAGGGAAGUGGAAUUCCUGGUGUAGAGGUGAAAUUCGUAGAUAUCAGGAGGAACACCAGUGGCGAAUGCGGCUUCCUGGACACCAACUGACGCUGAGACGCGAAAGCGUGGGGAGCAAACAGG
Molecule: ribosomal RNA, 253 nt
Filed under: uncultured bacterium
Lineage: Bacteria
Description: partial 16S ribosomal RNA
Rfam family: Bacterial small subunit ribosomal RNA
Source: RNAcentral